AGCGACAGGCCUAACACAUGCAAGUCAGGGGCAGCACAAGGAGCAAUCUGAGGUGGCGACCGGCGCACGGGUGAGUAACACGUAUGCAACCUGCCUGUAAGCGGGGAAUAACCCGUUGAAAGACGGACUAAUACCGCAUAAUACUAAAUUACUGCAUGGUAAUUUAUUUAAACAUUUAUGGCUUACAGAUGGGCAUGCGCAUGAUUAGCUAGUUGGAGAGGUAACGGCUCCCCAAGGCAACGAUCAUUAGGGGUUCUGAGAGGAAGGUCCCCCACACUGGUACUGAGACACGGACCAGACUCCUACGGGAGGCAGCAGUGAGGAAUAUUGGUCAAUGGACGAGAGUCUGAACCAGCCAAGUCGCGUGCAGGAAGAAUGUCCUAUGGAUUGUAAACUGCUUUUGCAGGGGAAUAAAGUGCAUCACGUGUGAUGUUUUGUAUGUACUCUGCGAAUAAGGAUCGGCUAACUCCGUGCCAGCAGCAGC
RNAcentral lists this ribosomal RNA (484 nucleotides) under uncultured bacterium. RNAcentral describes it as "bacterial SSU rRNA". It matches the Rfam family "Bacterial small subunit ribosomal RNA", at positions 39 to 518 of the family's 1533-position model. The record is from RNAcentral.